RNAcentral lists this long non-coding RNA (1062 nucleotides) under Ananas comosus (pineapple). RNAcentral's name for it is "long non-coding RNA (ACOM_LNC034533)". Lineage: Eukaryota; Viridiplantae; Streptophyta; Magnoliopsida; Poales; Bromeliaceae. The record is from RNAcentral.
UCCAUGGCAACCCUUACUAGAGAAGUUGAAUCUCGGCCAAACAAACACUUACUAAUUGAUGUUCAAUGCAGGAAUACAGGACCCUUACAAGAAGAUAUUAACAUCUUGGAAAGAGAAAAAAAUAAUUAUAGGAUGACCUGUGCCAGAAGAUAAAUAAGAAUAAACAUUGUUCAUUUUAAAAAAUAAAAAGAAGAAAAUUGCAGAGGAAACAUGCAUAAUAAAUUUCUCUAGCAAAGGAGGGUGCAAUAGUUCCCCACAAACAAAAGAACAAACUCAAAAGAUAUUUAAUCGGAUUUUAAAAAGUGUAAAAUUCAUUAAAGCAAGAAAAUAUAAGAUUUCAAACGAAAAAAAUAUACUAGAUGAGAUUGCCACACAGGACUACUGAUGUGCCUGGACUGAAUGAGUACGACGAACCUAAAUUUAAGAUUAAGUCAAACUUGGAGCCAAACAACAGCAGAAUCAAGGCGUUAAUUUGAUUUGUUGAAGUUUAAAAUGAACCUCUACAAAACAGUUUACCAACUAAUUCCACCACACAUCACUCCAUAGUAAAAAUUCAGCAUUAAGUAGAACUAAAUGAACGAAAUAGUUGAAUGAAAACGAAUCGAAUUGUAGGCCUUCGCCUUAACCAGUUUUCAGUACACUGGUUUACUACAACAUAAAUCAAGAUCGAGUGAAAUAGCAGCAGUAAAAGCAUCAGAGAUGCCAAAUCUUGGAAUCAGUAAAUUGAUUGACAUUUAGCAGGGGCGCAGUCAAAGCACAAAAUGAAACGAUAUCCAUAAAAACACGAACAUCUACAGUAAGCAGAUUUAGCUGCAAUAUAUUAACUACUCCGACAUCAAAUACUGCUUUGGGCUCAUAUAUAAACAAGAAAAUAAAAAUGUAACUGCAUCUCUGUUUGUUUUUAGGACAGUGAAAAUAAGAAAAAGUGCGAACAAAAGUAGAUUUAGCAUCUAAUUUUCUCAGGGGAAGAAAAGAAAAAGAAAACUAAAAGCAAUUAAUGUUUCUCCACAAUGCAAAUAAGUACAAGGAGAUCCGUGAAAUUUGACAAGACGAAGGUCCAUU